Nicotiana tabacum (common tobacco) is the source of this 461-nucleotide long non-coding RNA. RefSeq lists it as uncharacterized. The record is from RefSeq and is a predicted model, not a curated record. Lineage: Eukaryota; Viridiplantae; Streptophyta; Magnoliopsida; Solanales; Solanaceae.
UGUUUUUUAACCUUAAUGCUUAUCAACACACUUUGUGUCAACUAAGCCAAACGGGCUCCAGGUUUCCUCCAUUUUGUUUGCAUAAUAAACUUUCGGAUUUUACAUUGCUUCUCAGCGAUCUCUUCAUCUUCCUCAAAUUGCUUCUAUCUACAGUUCUUGCGAUCCGUUGUGAUUGUCGUGUAUCGUGUUAUUCGGUAGCGCCGGAAGGCAUUUUUGGUCAAGAACUACUAAAAAGAAGAUCAGAAAGAAGACCAAACAUCGCAUACACAAGGCAUCACCUUUUGCUAAUAUGUAAAUAGUUAUGUCAUACCUGUUGUAACUAACGUGGCACUUUAAGCAUCCUUUAAUGUGAUACUAACAAUAUCUUUUUUUUGAUCAAAAUGUAUGUAAAUAGGCAUCUAUCAAUUAGCAUGUAAUAUUUUCUACUUAGAUUCUACGCUUACAAUAUCAAUUUUAUUAUA